UCCUAGAACAGAAAACACAGCUGUUGACCCAGACUGGGCUAGUCUUCUCCCUGUUGCAACACCAUUUAAAUCUUUCAAAGCUCCUUUCAAAGCACUUGAAAUGGGUAUUUUGACCCUAGAAAGGGGGUUCUAUGACAAAGGAGGGAAGCCAAAACUUAAAUAUUUCUGGCUUUCUACAUUUGGCAUGUGAUUUCUGCACUGAGUGGCCAGCAGCAUCAGACUUGUGAGAAAUAUGAGUAGCACUGCCCAAUUAAAACUCAUUUAACUGAUUAUGUUUCAGCAGAAUUAUCCAUUCAAAAUCCCAAAGUAGAGUAGGAACCUUAUCGAGUAAACUUUCCAAUCUGAAUUUAAGUGAUCAUGUGAAGAAAAAAUAUACUAAACUUGCAAGAGAGCAAUACUUUAAGACCACAGAAAUGUUCACCAGCAAAACGACAGAAUUAUGAUUAUGCAAUUUAUCCACUCACAGUUUCAUACCUUGAAUCUUAAACCAGAGAGUAAGAGAAAAAAGAUGGAAGCACAUGGGAAGGAAUAUCUAUGAAAAACAGUUCAUAAAAGAAAAAUAUAAAAAAAUUUACAAAUUAAAGCUACUGAUAAAAACAAAAAAAGAACACUAUUGUUCUAAACAAGGAUCACAAAAUAUCUGUUCAUUUUAAGAAUGAGAAGAAGGAUAAAAAUAGCAUGUCUAAGUACAAAGAAUCAGUGGAAAGGA
RNAcentral lists this long non-coding RNA (709 nucleotides) under Homo sapiens (human). RNAcentral describes it as "non-protein coding lnc-CISD1-3:1". Lineage: Eukaryota; Metazoa; Chordata; Mammalia; Primates; Hominidae. The record is from RNAcentral.